RNAcentral lists this ribosomal RNA (186 nucleotides) under uncultured bacterium. RNAcentral describes it as "partial 16S ribosomal RNA". It matches the Rfam family "Bacterial small subunit ribosomal RNA", at positions 707 to 894 of the family's 1533-position model. The record is from RNAcentral.
CACCGGUGGCGAAGGCGGGUUUCUGGCCGAUAAUUGACGCUGAGAUGCGAAAAUGUGGGGAUCGAACAGGAUUAGAUACCCUGGUAGUCCACACCGUAAACGAUGUACACUAGGUGUUGGGGUACGAACCUCAGUGCCGAAGCGANCGUGAUAAGUGUACCGCCUGGGGAGUAUGCCCGGCAACGG